RNAcentral lists this ribosomal RNA (477 nucleotides) under uncultured bacterium. Its description in RNAcentral is "bacterial SSU rRNA". It matches the Rfam family "Bacterial small subunit ribosomal RNA", at positions 15 to 518 of the family's 1533-position model. The record is from RNAcentral.
GAUUCUGGCUCAGGAUGAACGCUGGCGGCGUGCCUAACACAUGCAAGUCGAGCGAUUCUCUUCGGAGAAGAGCGGCGGACGGGUGAGUAACGCGUGGGUAACCUGCCUCAUACACAUGGAUAACAUACCGAAAGGUAUGCUAAUACAGGAUAAUAUAAGAGAUUCACAUGGAUUUCUUAUCAAAGCUCCGGCGGUAUGAGAUGGACCCGCGUCUGAUUAGCUAGUUGGUAAGGUAACGGCUUACCAAGGCGACGAUCAGUAGCCGACCUGAGAGGGUGAUCGGCCACAUUGGAACUGAGACACGGUCCAAACUCCUACGGGAGGCAACAGUGGGGAAUAUUGCACAAUGGGCGAAAGCCUGAUGCCAGCAACGCCGCGUGAGUGAUGAAGGCCUUCGGGUCGUAAAACUCUGUCCUCAAGGAAGAUAAUGACGGUACUUGAGGAGGAAGCCCCGGCUAACUACGUGCCAGCAGCCGC